Long non-coding RNA from Oncorhynchus tshawytscha (Chinook salmon), 504 nucleotides. RefSeq lists it as uncharacterized. The transcript is spliced from 4 exons. Lineage: Eukaryota; Metazoa; Chordata; Actinopteri; Salmoniformes; Salmonidae. The record is from RefSeq and is a predicted model, not a curated record.
CCAGAUUUUGACGUCAACACAGUCGCUACAGUCCCAUUAGUUUUCUUUGUAGCCUCGUUUGAAUGUCGCUGUUGCGCACAUUUGUCAUUUGUAUGGAAUGGGGGUCGGGUGUUAAGGGACCACUUGUCACGUUGUCCAAGCACAACAGGAGAGCAUCCCUCAAGCCAUCUGGUGCAUGGACAUUGUGUGCCAAUAUGAUGCGAGCGCAAGAGUCCAGUUGUAGACUACUGCAGAUCGAGCAUGUGGAAGGACAGAUCAGUAACUCUUCAAAUGAGAAACAUUAUUGUGUUGACUGAGAACACAUGAGGCAUGACAUACGGAACAUCUUCAGGCUCCCCCCAUGAGAAGCAUUGCAUGAUGUUCAAAGCCACCCCCAGCAAGGAUAUCUGCUGGAAAUGAUGGCUCUCCCAUCUUUAGAUGUACUCUAUACAACUCUGUGUCCUAUCCAUACAACUCUACUUACUUCUUAUUUGGAGUUCAAUUAAAACAUUGAAGUUCCAGGUG